RNAcentral lists this long non-coding RNA (867 nucleotides) under Numida meleagris (helmeted guineafowl). RNAcentral describes it as "lncRNA (ENSNMEG00000002190.1)". Lineage: Eukaryota; Metazoa; Chordata; Aves; Galliformes; Numididae. The record is from RNAcentral.
UGCCUGUGUGUCCCCGUGUCCCCAUGUCCGUCUGUCCCCAUAUCUGUGUCCGUGUGUCCCCGUGUCCGUGCGCCUGUCCUCAUGUGUCCUUGUGUCCCCAUGUCCCUGUGUCUGUGUGUCCGUCUGUCCCCAUAUCUAUGUCCCUGUGUCCGUGUGUCCCCAUGUCCCCAUGUCCGUGUGUCCCCAUGUCCGUGUGUCCCCAUGUCCCCAUGUCUGUCUGUCCCCGUAUCUGUGUCCCCAUGUCCCCGUGUCUGUGUGUCCCUAUGUCCGUGUGUCCGUGUGUCCCCGGGGGCACUACUGGGGCACCACUGUGGCACAAAUGACACUGCCGUGGCACUAUGGUGGCAGCACAGUGGCACAACUGAGCAUGUCAUGGCACAAUGGUGGCACUAUGGCAGCACUAUGGGGGUACUGUUGUGUCACAAAUGUCACUGUGGUGGCACACAUUGCACCAUGGUGGCACAAAUGACACCAUCGUGGCACUAUGGUGGCACAUGGAGCACUAUGGCGGCACUAUGGUGGCACCAUGAUGGCACCAAUGCUGUUGACGUGGCACGACGUGGCACUAGGUUGGCUCCGUGGUAGCAACGAUUUGCAGACAGUGCCGGGCGUCCCUCCUUCUCCCUCCCACACCUCUCCAUCCUUCUCCCCUCCCACCCUUUUUCCUCCCUCCUUCUCCCCUCCCACACUUCUCCCUCUCGCAUUCUCCCUCCAAUCCUUCCCUCGUCCCUCCUUCUCCUCCACCCUUCUCCCUCCCUCCCUUCUCCCUCCUGUCCUCCCCCCACCAUUCUCCCUCCAUCCCUCUCCAUCCUUUUCUCCUCCGUCCUCCUCCCUCCCACCCUUCUCUCCUCCAUCCUUCUCCCCAUC